UGAUUCAGAAGCAAACUCAGAGGAAAGCUUUGAGACUGAGCUUUCAUCGGCUGAAAAGAGAAUCCAUCAAUCUGCAGUCAGUUCAUGUUGUGGCUAUGAUAAGAUGGAUGAAUCAACAAGCAGCAGUGAUGACAAGAUUGAUUCAGAAAUAAAAUAUUCAAGAUCUCACAUAAUCGAUUCUGGCUGUAGUUCCACACCAGGGGAGAAAUCUCACAAAGGGGAAGGUUCCAGAAGGCGCAGCAAAAAUGCUGGCUUAAACAA
This 261-nucleotide unclassified non-coding RNA is filed under the name Hevea brasiliensis (rubber tree). The record is from RNAcentral. Lineage: Eukaryota; Viridiplantae; Streptophyta; Magnoliopsida; Malpighiales; Euphorbiaceae.